ACAGCAGUCGCCGCGGGAAUACGUAGGUGGCAAGCGUUGUCCGGAAUUAUUGGGCGUAAAGGGUUCGCAGGCGGUUUCUUAAGUCUGAUGUGAAAGCCCCCGGCUCAACCGGGGAGGGUCAUUGGAAACUGGGAAACUUGAGUGCAGAAGAGGAGAGUGGAAUUCCACGUGUAGCGGUGAAAUGCGUAGAGAUGUGGAGGAACACCAGUGGCGAAGGCGACUCUCUGGUCUGUAGCUGACGCUGAGGAGCGAAAGCGUGGGGAGCGAACAGGAUUAGAUACCCCGGUAGUCCCUGUCUCUUAUAC
RNAcentral lists this ribosomal RNA (305 nucleotides) under uncultured bacterium. RNAcentral's name for it is "partial 16S ribosomal RNA". It matches the Rfam family "Bacterial small subunit ribosomal RNA", at positions 508 to 807 of the family's 1533-position model. The record is from RNAcentral.